AUGGCGUCGAGGGUGCCGACGUGGAGGGAGCGGGAGAACAACCGGCGGCGCGAGCGGCGCCGGCGCGCGGUGGCCGCCAACAUCUUCCACGGGCUGCGCGCCCGCGGCGGCUACGCGCUCCCCAAGCACUGCGACAACAACGAGGUGCUCAAGGCGCUCUGCGACGAGGCCGGCUGGACCGUCGAGCCCGACGGCACCACCUACCGCAAGGGUUCCAAGCCUGUAACAGCAGAAGGUACCAACCCGAUGGUCCGGUCGGGCUCCCCAAGCCCGUGCUCGUCGCACCAGGUGAGCCCGCGGGCCUCCUUCCCGACCUCCGGCACGUCCUCGCAUACCACGCUCGGCGGCGGCCGCGGCAGCUGCUACGAGGGCGGUUCCCUCAUCCCUUGGCUCAAGAACCUCUCCUCCGGCUCCGGGUUCGCGUCCUCUUCCAAGUUCCCGCGAUACUCGCCCCACUCGUACUACUUCAGCGGUGGCUCCAUCAGCGCGCCGGUGACCCCGCCGUCGGGCUCGCCGCGGCGCAUGCCCUGCCUCAACGCGGGAUGGGGCGAGUAUCCGAGUGCCCAGGUCCAGCCUCCAUGGGUCGGCGCCGGCGGCAGCGGCUACGAUGAUUACGCCUCUCUCCCCAACUCCACGCCGUCGAGCCCCCGCGGAGGCCAGGGCGUCGGUCCAGACCCGGCCGCCUGGCUCUCCGGCUUCCAGAUAUCGUCGGCCGGCCCGUCGUCUCCGACCUACAGCCUCAUGGCUCCUUCGAACCCCUUCCGAGUCUCCGGGGAGAUGGCAGCGGCCACCGCGAGCUCUUCGAGGAUGCGCACCCCGUGUCAGAGCGGGACGUGCUCGCCGGUGGCGCUGGCGGUCCAUGGCGAUGUCCAAAUGGGGGCCCGCGCGGAGGAUGACUUCGAGUUCGGGAGCGGCGGGAGGCCGGUGUCGGUGAAUGCGUGGGAGGGGGAGCGCAUCCACGAGGUGUGCGCCUCGGAUGAGCCUGAGCUGGACCUCACCCUCGGGCUCGGGAGCUCCAACACCCGCGCAAGCGCACUGAACUGA
Molecule: ribosomal RNA, 1044 nt
Filed under: Triticum aestivum (bread wheat)
Lineage: Eukaryota; Viridiplantae; Streptophyta; Magnoliopsida; Poales; Poaceae
Description: partial small subunit ribosomal RNA
Source: RNAcentral